UACGAAGGGGGCUAGCGUUGUUCGGAAUCACUGGGCGUAAAGCGCACGUAGGCGGACCUUCAAGUCAGGGGUGGAAUCCCGGGGCUCAACCUCGGAACUGCCUUUGAUACUGUUGGUCUUGGGUCCGAGAGAGGUGGGUGGAAUUCCUAGUGUAGUGGUGAAAUUCGUAGAUAUUAGGAAGAACACCGGUGGCGAAGGCGGCCCACUGGCUCGGUACUGACGCUGAGGUGCGAAAGCGUGGGGAGCAAACAGG
RNAcentral lists this ribosomal RNA (253 nucleotides) under uncultured bacterium. Its description in RNAcentral is "partial 16S ribosomal RNA". It matches the Rfam family "Bacterial small subunit ribosomal RNA", at positions 524 to 776 of the family's 1533-position model. The record is from RNAcentral.